Molecule: non-coding RNA, 1143 nt
Organism: Phalacrocorax carbo (great cormorant)
Lineage: Eukaryota; Metazoa; Chordata; Aves; Suliformes; Phalacrocoracidae
Source: RefSeq, a predicted model, not a curated record
AUGAGGCGAGACAAAAGUGGCGGCGGCGGCGUUGAGGGGAACGCGGGCGGGGGGAGCCCCGCCGCCCCGGCCCGCACAGGCGCCCCUUCGCGCCCCGCCCGCCCCAGAGCCGCCGCUAAGUGCGUCACCCCGAGCACCAUCGGGCCCCCGCCGCCCGUCCCCGGCGAGGCCCUGCUCCCUCACAGCACUGCGCUGGGAGGUGGGCCCAGCCCGCGCCCGCCUUGAAGUUACCUCAGAGUGUGUCAUGGCGCGACUCCAAAAGACGCAUGGGGGUUGCUGCAGCAGGGACAGCAUGAAACAGUCACAUCAUCACAGAACACGCGGUGCAAUAACAAUUUGCUACAUCAGGUGAUUUUGGAGCACUGGAUUAUUCCAUUAACCCUAGCACCCCACGGAUCCUCACCACUUCUGGUACCUCUGCUGACAGCGAGCCGCUUCGUCCAUAGCACCACCAGCCCUACUUGAUCCCUCCCGCGCACACGAUGGAGUUCUUCAAGAGGAGAGGAAAACUCUUCCUCUCAAAGGGACUCCAACCACUUCAGAAACACCAGCAGGGCCCCCCAGCAUCUCCAUCUUAGAGUAAGACCAUCAGUCCCACGCUACUAGUGAAGAAACCAGAAAACCCCUGUAAUGAAGCAUCUUGAAGGCCAACCAAAAACUGCCAACAGGAAUCAAAACCCAGCCUUCCAUCUCCUAUUUAUCCUCACACACCUACACCCCAACCACCAGGGAGAAGCGCUGUACUACCAAUUCAUUCUGACGCUAAGUACAAAAAAGCAAGAUAAAUUAAAUUAUUCACUAUCAGAACACAUUCAGUUUGGCAACUGGUUUACAGCCAGAACAAGCAAACCUCAAUAAUCCAGAGAAUGAAACGUAUUAGAUUACAGUGGUAACAUAAUUAAUAAUUCAAGUUACUGAAGUGCCUUUAGAUUGUCUUUUAUAACUCCACAACAGUCCAUCACACCAGCUGAUACAAGCAUACUGAGAAGCGGCCACCAUCUAAAAUUCUAAUAAAAAUCCUUCCAUUUUGUUGUUCACUUUCCAUUUAAUAGGUGAUGAUCAUGGAAGCAUCUCGUUUUUCACUUUUAGCUUUGAAAGCAAACUGCUAUUCCUUAGAAAUUAAAUUCUUUCCAACUGGCUAAA